GGGCCCGUAGCUUAGUCUGGUGGAGCGCCAGUCUUAUAAGCUGGUGGUCGUGAGUUCAAAUCUCGCCGGGCCCA
RNAcentral lists this transfer RNA (74 nucleotides) under Candidatus Woesearchaeota archaeon. RNAcentral's name for it is "tRNA-Ile". It matches the Rfam family "tRNA". From Rfam's summary of the family: Transfer RNA (tRNA) molecules are approximately 80 nucleotides in length. The record is from RNAcentral. Lineage: Archaea; Nanobdellati; Candidatus Woesearchaeota.